This 301-nucleotide ribosomal RNA is filed under the name uncultured bacterium. Its description in RNAcentral is "partial 16S ribosomal RNA". It matches the Rfam family "Bacterial small subunit ribosomal RNA", at positions 509 to 809 of the family's 1533-position model. The record is from RNAcentral.
CAGCCGCCGCGGGAAUACGUAGGUGGCAAGCGUUGUCCGGAAUUAUUGGGCGUAAAGGGCUCGCAGGCGGUUUCUUAAGUCUGAUGUGAAAGCCCCCGGCUCAACCGGGGAGGGUCAUUGGAAACUGGGAAACUUGAGUGCAGAAGAGGAGAGUGGAAUUCCACGUGUAGCGGUGAAAUGCGUAGAGAUGUGGAGGAACACCGGUGGCGAAAGCGGCUCUCUGGUCUGUCACUGACGCUGAGGCUCGAAAGCGUGGGUAGCGAACAGGAUUAGAUACCCCAGUAGUCCCUGUCUCUUAUAU